GGCGCACGGGUGCGUAACACGUGGGUAACCUGCCCUUUGGUGGGGAAUAACUUCGCGAAAGCGAAGCUAAUUCCGCAUAAGAUCCGCAAGGAUGAAAGCCGAAAGGCGCCGAAGGAGGGGCCCGCGCACGAUUAGCUAGUUGGUAGGGUAACGGCCUACCAAGGCUAUGAUCGUUAGCUGGUCUGAGAGGAUGGCCAGCCACACUGGAACUGAGACACGGUCCGGACUCCUACGGGAGGCAGCAGUGGGGAAUCUUGCACAAUGGGCGAAAGCCUGAUGCAGCGACGCCGCGUGGGGGAUGAAGCUUCUCGGAGUGUAAACCCCUUUCGACCCGGACGAAUGCCCCGCAAGGGGACUGACGGUACGGGUAUAAGAAGCCCCGGCUAACUACGUGCCAGCAGCCGCGGUAAUACGUAGGGGGCCAGCGUUGCUCGGAAUUACUGGGUGUAAAGGGUUCGUAGGCGGUGCGGCAAGUUGGAAGUGAAAUCUCUGGGCUCAACCCAAAGGCUGCUUUCAAAACUGCUGUGCUUGAGUGUGGGAGAGGCGCGUGGAAUUGCAGGUGUAGCGGUGAAAUGCGUAGAUAUCUGCAGGAACACCCGUGGCGAAAGCGGCGCGCUGGACCACAACUGACGCUGAGGAACGAAAGCUAGGGGAGCAAACAGGAUUAGAUACCCUGGUAGUCCUAGCCCUAAACGAUCAGGACUUGGGGUGGCUCACGUUCGUGAGUCGUCCCGGAGCUAACGCGUUAAGUCCUGCACCUGGGGAGUACGGUCGCAAGACUGAAACUCAAAGGAAUUGACGGGGGCCCGCACAAGCGGUGGAACAUGUGGUUCAAUUCGACGCUACGCGAGGAACCUUACCUGGGCUCGAAAUG
RNAcentral lists this ribosomal RNA (874 nucleotides) under uncultured bacterium. Its description in RNAcentral is "bacterial SSU rRNA". It matches the Rfam family "Bacterial small subunit ribosomal RNA", at positions 97 to 988 of the family's 1533-position model. The record is from RNAcentral.